AUUGAACGCUGGCGGCAGGCCUAACACAUGCAAGUCGAACGGUAACAGGAAGCAGCUUGCUGCUUUUCUGACGAGUGGCGGACGGGUGAGUCAUGUCUGGGAAACUGCCCGAUGGAGGGGGAUAACUACUGGAAACGGUAGCUAAUACCGCAUAACGUCGCAAGACCAAAGAGGGGGACCUUAGGGCCUCUUGCCAUCGGAUGUGCCCAGAUGGGAUUAGCUAGUAGGUGGGGUAACGGCUCACCUAGGCGACGAUCCCUAGCUGGUCUGAGAGGAUGACCAGCCACACUGGAACUGAGACACGGUCCAGACUCCUAAGGGAGGCAGCAGUGGGGAAUAUUGCACAAUGGGCGCAAGCCUGAUGCAGCCAUGCCGCGUGUAUGAAGAAGGCCUUCGGGUUGUAAAGUACUUUCAGCGGGGAGGAAGGGAGUAAAGUUAAUACCUUUGCUGAUUGACGUUACCCGCAGAAGAAGCACCGGCUAACUCCGUG
Molecule: ribosomal RNA, 490 nt
Filed under: uncultured bacterium
Lineage: Bacteria
Description: partial 16S ribosomal RNA
Rfam family: Bacterial small subunit ribosomal RNA
Source: RNAcentral